RNAcentral lists this ribosomal RNA (605 nucleotides) under Colletotrichum gloeosporioides. RNAcentral's name for it is "eukaryotic LSU rRNA". The stretch from base 238 to 391 matches the Rfam family "5.8S ribosomal RNA". Lineage: Eukaryota; Fungi; Ascomycota; Sordariomycetes; Glomerellales; Glomerellaceae. The record is from RNAcentral.
GGUCAUUUAGAGGAAGUAAAAGUCGUAACAAGGUCUCCGUUGGUGAACCAGCGGAGGGAUCAUUACUGAGUUUACGCUCUAUAACCCUUUGUGAACAUACCUAUAACUGUUGCUUCGGCGGGUAGGGUCUCCGCGACCCUCCCGGCCUCCCGCCUCCGGGCGGGUCGGCGCCCGCCGGAGGAUAACCAAACUCUGAUUUAACGACGUUUCUUCUGAGUGGUACAAGCAAAUAAUCAAAACUUUUAACAACGGAUCUCUUGGUUCUGGCAUCGAUGAAGAACGCAGCGAAAUGCGAUAAGUAAUGUGAAUUGCAGAAUUCAGUGAAUCAUCGAAUCUUUGAACGCACAUUGCGCCCGCCAGCAUUCUGGCGGGCAUGCCUGUUCGAGCGUCAUUUCAACCCUCAAGCUCUGCUUGGUGUUGGGGCCCUACAGCUGAUGUAGGCCCUCAAAGGUAGUGGCGGACCCUCCCGGAGCCUCCUUUGCGUAGUAACUUUACGUCUCGCACUGGGAUCCGGAGGGACUCUUGCCGUAAAACCCCCCAAUUUUCCAAAGGUUGACCUCGGAUCAGGUAGGAAUACCCGCUGAACUUAAGCAUAUCAAUGAGGC